UACAGAGGUCCCGAGCGUUGUUCGGAUUCACUGGGCGUAAAGGGUGCGUAGGUGGUGAGGUAAGUCGGAUGUGAAAUCUCCGGGCUUAACCCGGAAAUGGCAUUGGAAACUACCUUGCUAGAGGAUUUGAGGGGGGAUUGGAAUACUUGGUGUAGCAGUGAAAUGCGUAGAUAUCAAGUGGAACACCAGUGGCGAAGGCGAGUCCCUGGACGACUCCUGACACUGAGGCACGAAAGCUAGGGGAGCAAACAGG
This 253-nucleotide ribosomal RNA is filed under the name uncultured bacterium. Its description in RNAcentral is "partial 16S ribosomal RNA". It matches the Rfam family "Bacterial small subunit ribosomal RNA", at positions 524 to 776 of the family's 1533-position model. The record is from RNAcentral.